RNAcentral lists this ribosomal RNA (645 nucleotides) under uncultured bacterium. RNAcentral's name for it is "partial 16S ribosomal RNA". It matches the Rfam family "Bacterial small subunit ribosomal RNA", at positions 528 to 1179 of the family's 1533-position model. The record is from RNAcentral.
UAGGGGGCGAGCGUUGUCCGGAUUUAUUGGGCGUAAAGAGCUCGUAGGCGGUUUGGCAAGUCGGGUGUGAAAACUCCGGGCUCAACUCGGAGACGCCACUCGAUACUGCCAUGACUUGAGUCCGGUAGGGGAGUGCGGAAUUCCUGGUGUAGCGGUGAAAUGCGCAGAUAUCANGAGGAACACCGGUGGCGAAGGCGGCACUCUGGGCCGGAACUGACGCUGAGGAGCGAAAGCGUGGGGAGCGAACAGGAUUAGAUACCCUGGUAGUCCACGCCGUANACGUUGGGCACUAGGUGUGGGGCUCGAUCGACGGGCUCCGUGCCCGUAGCUACGCAUUAAGUGCCCCGCCUGGGAAGUACGGCCGNCAGGCUAAAACUCNAAGGAAUUGACGGGGGCCCNNGCACAGCGGCGAGCAUGGUGCUUAAUUCGAUGNCACGCGAAGAACCUUUACCANGGCUGACAUGUANGGAAAAGCCGUANAGAUACNGUGUCCUUCGGGGACCUACACACAGUGCUGCAUGGCUGUCNUCANCUCGUGUCNUGAGAUGUUUGGGUAAGUCCCNGCACGAGCGCACCCNUNNAGCUANNUGCAUCAUUAGUUGGGCACUCUAGNUGACUGCCGGUGACAACGGAGGAAAGGGGGGA